Molecule: non-coding RNA, 1015 nt
Organism: Ictidomys tridecemlineatus (thirteen-lined ground squirrel)
Lineage: Eukaryota; Metazoa; Chordata; Mammalia; Rodentia; Sciuridae
Source: RefSeq, a predicted model, not a curated record
UACCAGAGUGGCCCAAGGAAGGGGGCACAUUCACAGGGAAGAGAGUGCAGAGCAGCCAGUAUAGGGGAGAAGACUAAGAGUUCAAUUUGGGGUGAUUACAGCUUGAGGGACUGAAGAGGCAUCCAUCCAGUCAGAAAUGUUAGGCAGCUGGACACAGAUCUCCAGGUUCAAGGUGGAGGUCAGGACUACAGAGGUCAACAGCAUAGAGAUGGAACUUAGCCUCCUGGGUCUGUUGCAUCUGGACAGAUGCUCUCCCCCCCUCAGGUGGCAUUCAUUUCUGUCUGGAUCAAAUUCUGUUCAUCUCCAGUUGUGCAGGAAGUAGAACUUCAAGACCCUGGUUCCGGAAAUCCAUAGCAGACAAACAUCGUCCUACUGUAGCAUUCACCACCUGCAGGAUCCUGCUGCUACUCAGGAGGAAGACAGCAAGACCCCGUCUUGCUGUGGGACCUGAGGAGAAGGAGAGCUGCAGACCAAGGCCGCACAAGGAAAUUGCAUUACAAACUUGCUUGUGUGGAAGAGACCAUCGGAGCAAGCAUUGAAGAAGGCAGACAAUAUGGGGAAGCAGGAAUAUUAUGGGGGUCUAUCUCCCCAUGGUUGUGGCCGUGUCUGGAACUGCUGGUCCUCAUGGUGAAUACGUGGAGGGAGGACAGGAUCCUGCCCAGCUUGGGUGCUAAUGCCUGGCAAGUCCCCCUUCAUCCACCCCACUGGCUUUCACCCUUACUAUUUUCACACAGGUCUGCUUGGACGGAGAAAGCCACAGCUGGUGAGCCUUGGUUGGCUGAGCCAUGUUCAAGACUUUGAUUCUGUUUGUACAUAAAAAUGAGGUUUGAUUGACAUGGAAAUGUCUGAGGGUGACAGUCAUUGUCACUUCUUCCCUCCCCUUCCUUGGUUCUUUUGAAACUGGGAAACUUUUUCAAAUGGAGCCUCUCUCGGAGGCAAAUGGAUGUCUUCUUUCCAUAUGGAGUAGACGUGGCUAUUGUCAUCCCUGGAGAAGGAACUGAGUGUGAAGCCCUCU